AUUGAACGCUGGCGGCAGGCCUAACACAUGCAAGUCGAACGGUAACAGGAAGCAGCUUGCUGCUUUGCUGACGAGUGGCGGACGGGUGAGUAAUGUCUGGGAAACUGCCUGAUGGAGGGGGAUAACUACUGGAAACGGUGGCUAAUACCGCAUAACGUCGCAAGACCAAAGAGGGGGACCUUCGGGCCUCUUGCCAUCAGAUGUGCCCAGAUGGGAUUAGCUUGUUGGUGAAGUAACGGCUCACCAAGGCGACGAUCCCUAGCUGGUCUGAGAGGAUGACCAGCCACACUGGAACUGAGACACGGUCCAGACUCCUACGGGAGGCAGCAGUGGGGAAUAUUGCACAAUGGGCGCAAGCCUGAUGCAGCCAUGCCGCGUGUAUGAAGAAGGCCUUCGGGUUGUAAAGUACUUUCAGCGGGGAGGAAGGUGUUGUGGUUAAUAACCGCAACAAUUGAUGUUACCCGCAGAAGAAGCACCGGCUAACUCCGUGCCAGCAGCCGCGGUAAUACGGAGGGUGCAAGCGUUAAUCGGAAUUACUGGGCGUAAAGCGCACGCAGGCGGUCUGUCAAGUCGGAUGUGAAAUCCCCGGGCUCAACCUGGGAACUGCAUUCGAAACUGGCAGGCUUGAG
RNAcentral lists this ribosomal RNA (629 nucleotides) under uncultured bacterium. Its description in RNAcentral is "bacterial SSU rRNA". It matches the Rfam family "Bacterial small subunit ribosomal RNA", at positions 28 to 646 of the family's 1533-position model. The record is from RNAcentral.